This 484-nucleotide ribosomal RNA is filed under the name uncultured bacterium. Its description in RNAcentral is "partial 16S ribosomal RNA". It matches the Rfam family "Bacterial small subunit ribosomal RNA", at positions 29 to 507 of the family's 1533-position model. The record is from RNAcentral.
AUUGAACGCUGGCGGCAUGCUUUACACAUGCAAGUCGAACGGCAGCGCGGGCUUCGGCCUGGCGGCGAGUGGCGAACGGGUGAGUAAUACAUCGGAACGUGCCCAGUAGUGGGGGAUAGCUCGGCGAAAGCCGGAUUAAUACCGCAUACGACCUGAGGGUGAAAGCGGGGGAUCUUCGGACCUCGCGCUAUUGGAGCGGCCGAUGGCAGAUUAGCUAGUUGGUGGGGUAAAGGCCUACCAAGGCGACGAUCUGUAGCUGGUCUGAGAGGACGACCAGCCACACUGGGACUGAGACACGGCCCAGACUCCUACGGGAGGCAGCAGUGGGGAAUGUUGGACAAUGGGCGAAAGCCUGAUCCAGCAAUGCCGCGUGUGUGAUGAAGGCCUUCGGGUUGUAAAGCACUUUUGGCGGGAACGAAAAGGACUGUGCCAAUACCACGGUUCGAUGACGGUACCCGCAGAAUAAGCACCGGCUAACUACGUG